RNAcentral lists this ribosomal RNA (504 nucleotides) under uncultured bacterium. Its description in RNAcentral is "bacterial SSU rRNA". It matches the Rfam family "Bacterial small subunit ribosomal RNA", at positions 32 to 513 of the family's 1533-position model. The record is from RNAcentral.
AAUCAAUGCUGGCGGCGUGCCUAACACAUGCAAGUCGAACGCGAAAGGGGCUUCGGCCCUGAGUAGAGUGGCGAACGGGUGAGUAACACGUGGGUGACCUACCUUCGAGUGGGGGAUAACGUCCCGAAAGGGACGCUAAUACCGCAUGACAUCCCGCCUUUGAACAGGUGGAGAUCAAAGCUGGGGAUCGCAAGACCUGGCGCUUGAUGAGGGGCCCGCGUCUGAUUAGCUAGUUGGUGAGGUAACGGCUCACCAAGGCGACGAUCAGUAUCCGGCCUGAGAGGGCGGACGGACACACUGGGACUGAGACACGGCCCAGACUCCUACGGGAGGCAGCAGUGGGGAAUUGUUCGCAAUGGGCGCAAGCCUGACGACGCAACGCCGCGUGGAGGAUGAAGGUCUUCGGAUUGUAAACUCCUGUUGCCCGGGACGAAUGGCUCCGACCUAACACGUCGGAGUGUGACGGUACCGGGUGAGGAAGCCCCGGCUAACUCUGUGCCAGCA